This 182-nucleotide non-coding RNA is filed under the name uncultured Mesorhizobium sp. Lineage: Bacteria; Pseudomonadati; Pseudomonadota; Alphaproteobacteria; Hyphomicrobiales; Phyllobacteriaceae. The record is from RNAcentral.
CGAUGGUGCCUCGAAUCGAAAGGUCCGGGGUGAAAAGGGAAUACGGUGAAGCCCGCGAGGGCCCAGACCGUGGCUGCCCCCGCAACUGUAAGCGGUAGCAAAGUCCGAGAACGCCACUGGCCAAGGUGCCGGGAAGGCAGGACAGCGCAACGAUCCGCGAGCCAGGAGACCUGCCAUCGCAG